Small nucleolar RNA from Rana temporaria (common frog), 65 nucleotides. RefSeq annotates it as small nucleolar RNA SNORD42. The record is from RefSeq and is a predicted model, not a curated record. Lineage: Eukaryota; Metazoa; Chordata; Amphibia; Anura; Ranidae. The transcript has a single exon.
AUGCACAUGAUGUAAAUUUAUUCUGUCUGAAAUCAUUGAUGUGUUCAAAGGAACCACUGAUGCAU